GUGGCUCACGCCUGUAAUCCCAGCUCUUUGGGAGGCCAAGGCGGGUGGAUCACGAGAUCAGGAGAUCUAGACCACCCUGGAUAACACGGUGAAACCCCGUCUCUACUAAAAAUACAAAAUAUUAGCCGGGCGUGGUGUCGGGUACCUGUAGUCCCAGCUACUCGGGAGGCUGAGGUGGGAGAAUGGCGUGAACCCAGGAGGCGGAGCUUGCAGUGAGCCAAGAUAGCACCACUGCACUCCAGCCUGACGGCAUAGCGAGACUCUGUCUCAAAAAAAAAAAAAAAAAAAAAUUAACAUCACCUUCCACCAUGUGAUGUUGUAGCACCUCCCCUACAGGGGGCAGUUUUUCUCCCCUCCCUACUGGUAUUGAAAAUCAUAUUGCAAGCAUAUGACUUGCUGUACUAACGCAUGUGUGUGCACCUGACAGUGUACCCCUUCUCUGAAGAGGUCUCAAAAGGCGUCUGUCUGCCCACUCACCCGUCUGUUCUUUCCACGCUUCACCAGGAGAAGAGCUAACCUUGGGUAGCUGCUGUUCCUUCAGUCUGAGCCACACACUCAGCCACCCCAGCCAACCUGAAGAUCUGCAGCAUGAAGCAGAGCUAUGCUCACAGACUCACAGAUCUGUGUGUGAGAAAACAAGACUGUUGUUUAAGCUACCGACUUUUGGGGAGAUUUAUUGUGCAGCAUUACUAAUGCAAUAGUUAGCAGAUACAACUCCCCUGCCUAAAUCCCUUUGGGGGCAUCUCAGCACCUUUCUGUGGAGUGAAGCUACAUUUCUUAGCAGAGCAUAUCCUUCAAAAGGCAUCAUCUUAUCCAGAGUGCUGGCAUCAGCCCACAUUUCCCUGGCAGAGGCAAAGGUACUAUGGCAGAAAUGGCCAGGGAAGGGUUUAUCUAACCACCAGGAGUACGCAAAGAAGAGAGGUCCAGCCAGCCUGCCUCUCAGAUUGUUAAGAUGCCAGGUGUCUUUUGGCUCAUGGAAACAGCUGUUCUGCCCCCUCCCGAACCCUAGACUCACAGCUACACUCUAUGGGUGGGACCAAAAUGCAAUUGCAUAUUUCUUUAUAAGCAGGAGAUUUCACAAAGAAAAGGAGAAGGCAAGAACCACAGAGGCAAAGAUUGGAGAGAUGUGGCUGCAAGUCAGGCAGUAUCUAGCUGCCACUAGAUACUGGAAGAGUCAAGGAAUGGACUCUCCCUGGAGACUCCAGAGAAAACCUAGCCCUUCUGACUCCUUGAUUGUUGCCUUAUAAGACUCAUUUCAGACUUUAGGCUGCGUAUGAGAGAAUAAAUUUCUGUUGUUUUAAGCCACAAAGUUUGUGACCACAAUAAUAAUAUAGCACCAUUUAUAACAAAGCACUAUGUUUUUAUCUGUAUUAGUAUAGUUAUCACCGUCUUUCUUACUUUAUACCUGGUGGAUACCUAUUGAUUUUCUUUUUAGAGGGCAGGGAUCUGUCUUAUUCAUGAGUGAAUACUCUGCUGCACCUGGGAACUAAAGUGUUUGCCAUAGGAGUGCAGUAAAGUUUGUUCAAAUGGAUCUGAAGCUCAGUCUCUGUGGUGCCCAUAUUCUUGUGUGCAUACAGGGAAAGGACAAAGGGAAGGCUGCUUCCUGAAGAGAUCUCCAUAUGGAAGAGCUGCAGAUCACAAACAACCCACACAGCCAUUGUAACGCCUGCUUGCCUGGUCACUUGUGUUUCUGAGAAGCCAUAACUCCAAGAAUAGCGAAGGGAAGAAAAUGCCAAAAAGCAGGGGCUGCCUAACAGGUCUGACUUGCAAGGCAAACUCCUGGCAGGCCUGGCCAGCUUCUGCUUGUCCCAGUGCAAUCCCACCCCCAUAGGAUCUGGAAUUUUUCAGUCCCUUUGCUAAGAUUCCUGAAAUAGACUUAAUGAAGAGCCUCAGAAGUGAAAAUUCCUCUUCACACAUUUGCUCAAGAAGAUUGCUUUUCUCCUAACACAGAAAUCAGCUGCCUUGAGGAUGUGCAAGUUUGAUUAGGGAGUCUGCUCUUGCCUAUUUCUCAAACGGUUCAGGCCCUGACAGAAUCAGUGUCACCCCUAAGAAUGAAACCUUCCAAGGGGCCAUGAUCAUAUUGUGACUGGACAAGAACUAUCAUGGAUGAGGCACAUCAUCUUUUGGAACCAUCUAUGGAACAGAUAUUAUUAUUCCAUUUUGCGGAAGAGGAAUCUGAGGCUCAGGCCAGACAGAUGCAGCUAACGUUGAGUGGCAUCCUGAUGAUCACCUUCAUCACAAAAGGAAGGAGUGCUCUGAGGACUGUAGGUGGCUCUCAGAACCCUGACCUCCACGGCAGCCAUCAAGGAGUGGCAAAGGGGGUCCACAGUGGCAUAUGCAGUGAGAUCCAAGUUUUAGGCAUUCGGAGUAGAGCAAGCCACGAAUGAGAACAGGUUCUGAAAGUGACAGAAAAGGAGUCACUUUUUUGGUUCCAUAUGAACUUUAAGGUAGUUUUUUCCCAGUUCUGUGAAGAAAGUCAUUGGUAGCUUGAUGGGGAUGGCAUUGAAUCUAUAAAUUACCUUGGACAGUAUGGCCAUUUUCAUGAUAUUGAUUCUUCCUACCCAUGAGCAUGGAAUGUUCUUCCAUUUGUUUGUAUCCUCUUUUAUUUCCUUGAGCAGUGGUUUGUAGUUAUCCUUGAAGAGGUUCUUCACAUCCCUUGUAAGUUGGAUUCCUAGGUAUUUUAUUCUCUUUGAAGCAAUUGUGAAUGGGAGUUCACUCAUGAUUUGGCUCUCUGUUUGUCUGUUGUUAGUGUAUAAGAAUGCUUGUGAUUUUUGUACAUUGAUUUUGUAUCCUGAGACUUUGCUGAAGUUGCUUAUCAGCUUAAGGAGAUUUUGGGCUGAGACAAUGGGGUUUUCUAGAUAUACAAUCAUGUCAUCUGCAAACAGGGACAAUUUGACUUCCUCUUUUCCUAAUUGAAUACCCUUUAUUUCCUUGUCCUGCCUAAUUGCCCUGGCCAGAACUUCCAACACUAUGUUGAAUAGGAGUGGUGAAAGAGGACAUCCCUGUCUUGUGCCAGUUUUCACAGGGAAUGCUUCCAGUUUUUGCCCAUUCAGUAUGAUAUUGGCUGUGGGUUUGUCAUAGAUAGCUCUUAUUAUUUUGACAUACGUCCCAUCAAUACCUAAUUUAUUGAGAGUUUUUAGCAUGAAGCGUUGUUGAAUUUUGUCAAAGGCCUUUUCUGCAUCUAUUGAGAUAAUCAUGUGGUUUUUGUCUUUGGUUCUGUUUAUAUGCUGGAUUACAUUUAUUGAUUUGUGUAUAUUGAACCAGCCUUGCAUCCCAGGGAUGAAGCCCACUUGAUCAUGGUGGAUAAGCUUUUUGAUGUGCUGCUGGAUUCGGUUUGCCAGUAUUUUAUUGAGGAUUUUUGCAUCAAUGUUCAUCAGGGAUAUUGGUCGAAAAUUCUCUUUUUUGGUUGUAUCUCUGCCCGGCUUUGGUAUCAGGAUGAUGCUGGCCUCAUAAAAUGAGUUAGGGAGUAUUCCCUCUUUUUCUAUUGAUUGGAAUAUCACCAAGUCCAUCCUAAGCCAAAAGAACAAAGCUGGAGGCAUCACACUACCUGACUUCAAACUAUACUACAAGGCUACAGUAACCAAAACAGCAUGGUACUGGUACCAAAACAGAGAUAUAGAUCAAUGGAACAGAACAGAGCCCUCAGAAAUAACACCGCAUAUCUACAAUUAUCUGAUCUUUGACAAACCUGACAAAAACAAGCAAUGGGGAAAGGAUUCCCUAUUUAAUAAAUGGUGCUGGGAAAACUGGCUAGCCAUAUGUAGAAAGCUGAAACUGGAUCCCUUCCUUACACCUUAUACAAAAAUCAAUUCAAGAUGGAUUAAAGACUUAAACGUUAGACCUAAAACCAUAAAAACCCUAGAAGAAAACCUAGGCAUUACCAUUCAGGACAUAGGCAUAGGCAAGGACUUCAUGUCUAAAACACCAAAAGCAGUGGCAACAAAAGCCAAAAUUGACAAACGGGAUCUAAUUAAGCUAAAGAGCCUCUGCACAGCAAAAGAAACUACCAUCAGAGUGAACAGGCAACCUACAAAAUGGGAGAAAAUUUUCGCAACCUACUCAUCUGACAAAGGGCUAAUAUCCAGAAUCUACAAUGAACUCAAACAAAUUUACAAGAAAAAAACAAACAACCCCACCAAAAAGUGGGUGAAGGACAUGAACAGACACUUUUCAAAAGAAGACAUUUAUGCAGCCAAAAAACACAUGAAAAAAUGCUCACCAUCACUGGCCAUCAGAGAAAUGCAAAUCAAAACC
This 4254-nucleotide long non-coding RNA is filed under the name Homo sapiens (human). RNAcentral describes it as "HSALNT0031887". The record is from RNAcentral. Lineage: Eukaryota; Metazoa; Chordata; Mammalia; Primates; Hominidae.